UGGGGAAUUUUGGACAAUGGGGGCAACCCUGAUCCAGCAAUGCCGCGUGUGUGAAGAAGGCCUUCGGGUUGUAAAGCACUUUUGUCCGGAAAGAAAACGUCGUGGUUAAUACCCGUGGCGGCUGACGGUACCGGAAGAAUAAGCACCGGCUAACUACGUGCCAGCAGCCGCGGUAAUACGUAGGGUGCAAGCGUUAAUCGGAAUUACUGGGCGUAAAGCGUGCGCAGGCGGUCCGCUAAGACAGAUGUGAAAUCCCCGGGCUUAACCUGGGAACUGCAUUUGUGACUGGCGGGCUAGAGUAUGGCAGAGGGGGGUAGAAUUCCACGUGUAGCAGUGAAAUGCGUAGAGAUGUGGAGGAAUACCGGUGGCGAAGGCAGCCCCCUGGGCCAAUACUGACGCUCAUGCACGAAAGCGUGGGGAGCAAACAGGAUUAGAUACCCUGGUAGUCCACGCCCUAAACGAUGUCACUAGUUGUCGGGUCUUCAUUGACUUGGUAACGUAGCUAACGCGUGAAGUUGACCGCCUGGGGAGUACGGUCGCAAGAUU
This 546-nucleotide ribosomal RNA is filed under the name uncultured bacterium. RNAcentral's name for it is "partial 16S ribosomal RNA". It matches the Rfam family "Bacterial small subunit ribosomal RNA", at positions 355 to 895 of the family's 1533-position model. The record is from RNAcentral.